GACGGAGGAAGCAAGCGUUAUCCGGAAUUACUGGGCGUAAAGAGUUACGUAGGCGGUCUGUUAAGCAAAACGUGAAAUCGCAUGGCUCAACCAUGCGCUUGUGUUUUGAACUGACAGACUAGAGCAUGAGAGAGGUAGCUGGAAUUCCCGGUGUAGGAGUGAAAUCCGUAGAUAUCGGGAGGAACACCAACGGCGAAGGCAGGCUACUGGCUCAUUGCUGACGCUCAGGUACGAAAGCGUGGGGAGCGAACGGG
This 254-nucleotide unclassified non-coding RNA is filed under the name uncultured Patescibacteria group bacterium. RNAcentral describes it as "contains 16S-23S intergenic spacer region". It matches the Rfam family "Bacterial small subunit ribosomal RNA", at positions 524 to 776 of the family's 1533-position model. The record is from RNAcentral.